GAACUAGUGGCUCAGAGGAAGUAGCAUGUGACCACGAAUCACAAAGCCGGGGGUUCGACUCCCUCCUAGUUUA
RNAcentral lists this transfer RNA (73 nucleotides) under Lepidodinium chlorophorum. RNAcentral's name for it is "tRNA-Arg". It matches the Rfam family "tRNA". Rfam says of the family: Transfer RNA (tRNA) molecules are approximately 80 nucleotides in length. Their secondary structure includes four short double-helical elements and three loops (D, anti-codon, and T loops). The record is from RNAcentral. Lineage: Eukaryota; Dinophyceae; Gymnodiniales; Gymnodiniaceae.